UCACUGGGCAAGGUAGACUUUAC
Molecule: microRNA, 23 nt
Filed under: Tribolium castaneum (red flour beetle)
Lineage: Eukaryota; Metazoa; Arthropoda; Insecta; Coleoptera; Tenebrionidae
Description: tca-miR-3836a-3p
Source: miRBase by way of RNAcentral